Long non-coding RNA from Bombyx mandarina (wild silkworm), 2638 nucleotides. The record is from RefSeq and is a predicted model, not a curated record. NCBI's taxonomy places the organism in Eukaryota, Metazoa, Arthropoda, Insecta, Lepidoptera, Bombycidae.
UUCUAAUCCUAUAGAUCUAUGAUCUUCUGGGGGCGUUUAUAUUAUAUAUACCUACAUUAAAUAAUAUGCUGUGGUUUAUUUUCUGUAUUUUAUUUAUGCUUUCUAUAUAAAGGAUUUAUGAAAGUUGUCUAGGAAAUUUUAGGGAUAAAUUCAAAAGAAACUAGGGUAAAAUGUGUUAAAAAAAACGUAAGUGGAAACACUGCUUUGAAGUUUUCAAAAUUCCAGGGCCGUAAAACAAUCUCAAAAAAAAAAAAAAGUUUUCAAAAUGUCGUAACGAUUUAAUUUUUUAAAUCGUUUUUUUUUGGUCUUGGUGUGAGUUAUUUUACGUUGUAGUAUUAAUUUAGAGCAACUUUUAGCUUUAUGAGAAUAUUAGACGAUUAGACAUUGAGAAACUCUGUUUUGAAUUCUCUUUAGACAUAACUUGGCUCCAAUACUUUUUUCUUCGUUAGCGUUUCGUAAGCCUGUGUAACUAUUUUCAUUUCUUACAGAAAGUUUAUUAUUAAAAAUCAGCAUGCCUCGAAGAUCGAAAAUGAAAUGCUAUUUCGGAUGCCUUGAUAACGGUGAGUUUACACUAUUUUCCCGGUAUAUUAUUUGCUAACAGAAUUAUUAUUCAUAAUAUAAUUAAAUGAAUUAGCACCAACUAAUGGUCCUUCCUAUUUCUGCUGCCUAGCUAUCAUAUAUGUUAAGUUUUGAUCAAAACAGUCGGUAUUAAGUCUCGUACUAUCACACACACACCUCAGAUAAUAAAAUUGUCUCGAGUGGGUGGAAGUAUUUAUGUUUUGCAACUCAGCGUAUUAUAUGCUUAUUGUCAAGUGGGCCCGAACUAGUUUUUUGGAAUGAUCAAUCAGUCAUGCUUUCCUGUUUAAAUAAAAUACAGCACAAUUGAUCUCACAUCCAAAGUUAGAUGAUGGCAUUCACGUUUUGUUUCCUGGUGUUUGAUAACUAAGUUACACCAAGUGGCCUGUGACCACGUUCAUCCUUCUACCCAAUAUAAAAUAAUGUUUUUAUUUUUGUAGACAAAGGUUUGAUAAUGACAAAAUUUUAUGGAAAAAUUAUAAGGAGCACUAAAAUGUCUGAAACAUGAAAAGAUUGAUGCACUAUAUUUGAACCAGAACGUGUUAUGUAAUAUAUUAAUUUAAGAGAAACUGAUUCAGCAAGGAACGUGAACUCUCAAGGGAUCUUAAUUUUUUUUAAAUAUGUUUAUAAUUGAUAAAUUAAUAAUUGAAAUAGUUCAUAAGAACUAAAUUGAUGCCAAUUUUGUUUUAAAAUAGGUUGUUUAGUUCUUAUAGUUAUAGUAUUACGUUUGAAUAGUUGUAAUUAGUAAGUUAGUAAUAUAUGAAAAUACUGAUAUAAAUUUUUGUAAAUAACCUUUUGUAAAUUCUACGAGAAGAUGAUUUUAAUUAAUGAUCAAAAGUCAACGGUCUUUAAAAGCAUUAUUUGCAAUUAUUUAGAUUAACUGUGGAAUAUAUUUGCUAAGUUGUGUUUUCUGUAUGAGCAGAUAUAAAUGAAAAUGCCCAAACAUGAUUAUGUUUCUUACAUUUUCAUUAUGUGAAAUCAAUAUGCUUGUGACUGAGUAUAUUAAUAAUUUAUUAAAACUUAAGUGAUAGACAGCAACCCCUAUGGCACUGCUGAAGUUUAUAAGCACUGGUGACCACUUAUCAUGGGCCGGGUUGCGUGCUCGUCUGCUGUUGAGUGCAAUAAAAAUUUUCGAAACCCUUUCUAUUAUUUAGAUGUAAUAUUAGUGUACAUUUAAUUUGGAUUAAAAGAUAAAUUUACAUUUUAUGUUUGCAUGUGUAUGUUUAUAAUUCAUUUGCAUGUAACGAACACCAGUUUCUUUUGUAACAAAAUGUAAACUAAUGGUUUGUAAUGAAUGUAAUUAACUUUAAGAUGAUUUUCUUUCAAUCUGCUGUUUGUUUCAUCUAGUAUUACCAAAGCUAAAGCAUCAGAAACGUCAGAAUAGAAAUAAUUUAGAUAGGGAAUAAAAGUAUAACUAAUGUAAUCAUGUCUAAGAUUACUAUAAGCGUCAUUAAGUACAAACUAUCAAUAUUUAAGAGUACUUUAAAUCAUCAUUACAUUUUUUAAACAUUUUUUGUUUUUCAAAUCAUGUAAUAAAACGUUUGUGCAGAACAAAAUGUCACAUGUUAUGAACAUGAUUGUGGGUUAAUCGUUUCUUAAAUUUCUAAAUGUUUAUAAGAAUGCUAAGAAUAAUUUAGUAUUCACUUUAGUGUGUGUAUUAUCUCUACAAUGCUAGUUUAAAUGACAAUUAUUGUAUGACGAAGCAUAGGUAGUGUUUAUAGAUGUAAUAUUUUCAUACAAGGUCAUGAUCUGUCACGAUCAACUUUAAGCAAGAACUGCUAUCGUUAAGAAACAAAUUUAUUAAAUUUAAUUCAAAUUGUCUACUAUGUUUGUAAUGGAAAGCUGACAUGUUUAUAUUUCGCACAAAUGACUUAAUUGACAUUGAAUGAUUUGAUUAUCUAGACUUAAUUAACUUUUAGAUAACUUUCGAUUUAAUGUGUACGCUAGUAGGAUUAAUCUAGAGGAGUUAUUGUUAUUCGAAAUUUUAUACAAUUGUACGUUCAUACAAUCUUUUAACAGAAAUUUGUUUGUAAUAUAGGGAAAUUAAAUAGCUUACAGAGAA